Long non-coding RNA from Hydra vulgaris (swiftwater hydra), 362 nucleotides. RefSeq lists it as uncharacterized. NCBI's taxonomy places the organism in Eukaryota, Metazoa, Cnidaria, Hydrozoa, Anthoathecata, Hydridae. The record is from RefSeq and is a predicted model, not a curated record.
UUUAAUAUACGUGUACUUACGUGUUUAUAAAUUGAUUGCUUACUUGAGAGUUCAAAACACAAUAAUACGUUUUAUUCUUACAGAAGUAUUGUUUUUGCAAAAUGGCGGACGGAGCAGAAAGUACGUUUAAUCCACAAAACCCAAAUAAUUUUAAUGUUGAAGCAAAGUUUCUUUUAAUACCUGGCUUUGUCAUAGUAUGUUUAGCUCUAUUCUUAGUUUAUCGCUUGCUAACGAGCUAUAAAAAAAAGGAGCUUGAAAAGCUUGAAAAGAAGAGAAAAAAGGAAGAAAAGAAAAAGAAAUGAUUUUAUUUAAAGUUAUAACUGAAUUGUAAUAUAGUCAAGAAUAAAAGUAUAAACAGUUAA